UACGUUUUAGAACAUUUACAUUUAAUUCUUGAGUUGCAACGCUUGCUGUCCGGGUGGGUUUUAACCAAAUAAGGACAGUGACAUCAUUCGUUCUUUUUGUAGGUGUGCUGGAAUCUAUCCACUUGUGUAUUGGGGCAAAUACAGCUUUUCGAAACUUGAAAUCUCCACACGCUGGUGACGCCUGCUGGUCAAAACUCUGCAAAUUCAACAAAAACGCAAAAAAGUGGAAAGUGGAAAUUGUGAGAACGUAUGGGAAGAAAAUGAUACCCAGUAUACUGCAGUUCGAUCAUCAGAAGUACAGGAACAAGGAGAAGGAACAGAUGAAGAACAAUCAGAAAGUGUCACAAUCCAAAGUAUUAAGAGAUACAAACACAGUGAAUCUUCAUAGAUGCAACAGCAUUGAGCGUCUGGAACCAAACUUCUCUCAUGAUUUAGUCCAAGCUGUAAAGUCUUGUUCUGAUGUACCAGAAGGUCCAGAAUGAGGUGAGUUUACUUUACUGGCAUUAUUAAUGACAUGAAUUCAUCAUCACAUUCAAGGAUGGCUAACAUUUGUUCAUGAAUAUUCUUAAAUGUUUUAUUUAUCUGUUGCAUAUUUUUGUGUGACAUGCACAUAGCUGCCACAAUCAAUCCAAAUGAUGAAUAAUUUGCUCUGCAAAAUUAGCAUUACUUUUUUCAUUUUUAUCUCACUGUACUUAUUUAUAUUUUCUGCACUUUAUUGCCUGCACUUUUAAUUUUUUGGCGUAUCUUGAGCCAAACUUUUGUUUUUAUUUUCUGAUAACCACAGAAGUGUCUCUUGUAAAUUUUACAUAAUGUGAAACUAAAUCUGUUUUUGUAAGAUGCUCUGGCGUUUAGCAUCUUUGAGUGAGAAUACUUGUAACACAUCCUUAUCAUUUGUUACUGACAUUAUUUGUAGUUUAUUAUUUGAAAUCUUAUUUAGGAUUAACGUAAUACAGGUUCUUUGUAAUAGAAGCAAAUACACACCAUGAAAAAUGUUAACACUUCUGUGUCUUUCUUUAGCCAUUUUAAACUUUAAUAUCUACUGAUGCACAGAUAUUAAUGAGCUCUUCUGGACUCUUCACCUUAACAGUCACUGUUAUUGCAUUAUGUUUUUUCUAGAGUUUAGUUAUUCUCAGAAAGUAUUCAGGUCAAGUCUUCUGCUCAGAUCGUUCUCAGAGAAUGAAACAAAUUGGAAAACAAACAAGUUUAACAAUUAAUUCUGAAAAGAAAUUAGGAGUAUAUGCAUAUCCUUUUGUGCAAAAGGCUCAUAUAAUGACACUGAUUUAUAAUGCAGACGCACAAAAGCGCUUUCUUCUCUAGCGCAGGGACUUUUAUUUUGGCGGAAUGCCGUCCGUUCUGUGGAGCGCUUCACAGCGCAGUGCACCAGACAAUUACGUCAGAAUCAUAGACAGUAAAAGAAAUGGACACAGCUACCCCGUUGGAUUCAACGAAGACAAGUGAAGUCAAUUAGAAGCACAGACUCAA
Cyprinus carpio (common carp) is the source of this 1482-nucleotide long non-coding RNA. Lineage: Eukaryota; Metazoa; Chordata; Actinopteri; Cypriniformes; Cyprinidae. The record is from Ensembl.